GGUCAUGGUGGCCAAGUGGUAAGGCAUUGGUCUCAUAAACCAAAGAGCGUGGGUUUGAUCCCCACCUGUGCCU
Chiloscyllium plagiosum (whitespotted bambooshark) is the source of this 73-nucleotide non-coding RNA. NCBI's taxonomy places the organism in Eukaryota, Metazoa, Chordata, Chondrichthyes, Orectolobiformes, Hemiscylliidae. The record is from the annotation of a RefSeq genome assembly.